This 205-nucleotide long non-coding RNA is filed under the name Gossypium barbadense (sea-island cotton). Its description in RNAcentral is "long non-coding RNA (GBAR_LNC021085)". Lineage: Eukaryota; Viridiplantae; Streptophyta; Magnoliopsida; Malvales; Malvaceae. The record is from RNAcentral.
GGAUGUGAUAUUCCUUCGGAACAAGAGAAUCUUAUAUUUCAAUUCACGUUAUCAGAGUUUCUUUUAAGGAUCGUAUUUUUUAAAACUCUUCAAAUUUUUAAUUUUCGACACUAAGACACUGAUUAAUCAACUAGGUACCAAUUUUGGGCGUAUCGAGGGUGCUAAUCCUUCCUCGUGCGUAACCGACUCCCGAACCCGUUUUUCU